GGCAAUGCAGUGGUCCUGGGCUUCUACGU
RNAcentral lists this non-coding RNA (29 nucleotides) under Homo sapiens (human). Lineage: Eukaryota; Metazoa; Chordata; Mammalia; Primates; Hominidae. The record is from RNAcentral.